RNAcentral lists this ribosomal RNA (253 nucleotides) under uncultured bacterium. Its description in RNAcentral is "partial 16S ribosomal RNA". It matches the Rfam family "Bacterial small subunit ribosomal RNA", at positions 524 to 776 of the family's 1533-position model. The record is from RNAcentral.
GACGUAGGGGGCCAGCGUUGCUCGGAAUUACUGGGUGUAAAGGGUUCGUAGGCGGUGUGGCAAGUCGGGAGUGAAAUCUCUGGGCUCAACCCAGAGUCUGCUUCCGAAACUGCUGUGCUUGAGUGUGGGAGAGGCGCGUGGAAUUGCAGGUGUAGCGGUGAAAUGCGUAGAUAUCUGCAGGAACACCCGUGGCGAAAGCGGCGCGCUGGACAACUACUGACGCUGAGGAACGAAAGCUAGGGGAGCAAACAGG